GGGCCUAUAGCUCAAUUGGCAGAGCAGCGGACUUUUAAUCCGCGGGUUCUGGGUUCGAUUCCCAGUGGGCCCACCA
This 76-nucleotide transfer RNA is filed under the name Micropruina glycogenica. Its description in RNAcentral is "tRNA-Lys". It matches the Rfam family "tRNA". Rfam says of the family: Transfer RNA (tRNA) molecules are approximately 80 nucleotides in length. Their secondary structure includes four short double-helical elements and three loops (D, anti-codon, and T loops). Further hydrogen bonds mediate the characteristic L-shaped molecular structure. tRNAs have two regions of fundamental functional importance: the anti-codon, which is responsible for specific mRNA codon recognition, and the 3' end, to which the tRNAs corresponding amino acid is attached (by aminoacyl-tRNA synthetases). tRNAs cope with the degeneracy of the genetic code in two manners: having more than one tRNA (with a specific anti-codon) for a particular amino acid; and 'wobble' base-pairing, i.e. permitting non-standard base-pairing at the 3rd anti-codon position. RNAcentral also lists the same sequence under 9 other names. The record is from RNAcentral. Lineage: Bacteria; Bacillati; Actinomycetota; Actinomycetes; Propionibacteriales; Nocardioidaceae.